RNAcentral lists this ribosomal RNA (403 nucleotides) under bacterium. RNAcentral describes it as "partial 16S ribosomal RNA". It matches the Rfam family "Bacterial small subunit ribosomal RNA", at positions 355 to 776 of the family's 1533-position model. The record is from RNAcentral.
UGGGGAAUAUUGCACAAUGGGGGAAACCCUGAUGCAGCGACGCCGCGUGAACGAAGAAGGUAUUCGUAUCGUAAAGUUCUGUCCUAUGGGAAGAUAAUGACAGUACCAUAGAAGAAAGCUCCGGCUAAAUACGUGCCAGCAGCCGCGGUAAUACGUAUGGAGCGAGCGUUGUCCGGAAUUAUUGGGCGUAAAGGGUACGCAGGCGGUUUAAUAAGUCGAAUGUUAAAGAUCGGGGCUCAACCCCGCAAAGCAUUGGAAACUGAUAAACUUGAGUGGUGGAGAGGAAAGUGGAAUUCCUAGUGUAGUGGUGAAAUACGUAGAUAUUAGGAGGAAUACCAGUAGCGAAGGCGACUGUCUGGACACAAACUGACGCUGAGGUACGAAAGCGUGGGGAGCAAACAGG